GACGAACGCUGGCGGCGUGCUUAACACAUGCAAGUCGAGCGGAAAGGCUCCUUCGGGGGUACUCGAGCGGCGAACGGGUGAGUAACACGUGAGUAAUCUGCCCUUGGCUUUGGGAUAAGCCCCGGAAACGGGUCUAAUACCGGAUACGACGCACUCUCGCAUGGGAUGUGUGUGGAAAGUUUUUUCGGCCAGGGAUGUGCUCGCGGCCUAUCAGCUUGUUGGUGGGGUAAUGGCCUACCAAGGCUUCGACGGGUAGCCGGCCUGAGAGGGUGACCGGCCACACUGGGACUGAGACACGGGCCCAGACUCCUACGGGAGGCAGCAGUGGGAAUAUUGGACAAUGGGCGGAAGCCUGAUCCAGCAACGCCGCGUGAGGGAUGACGGCCU
This 387-nucleotide ribosomal RNA is filed under the name uncultured bacterium. Its description in RNAcentral is "bacterial SSU rRNA". It matches the Rfam family "Bacterial small subunit ribosomal RNA", at positions 28 to 417 of the family's 1533-position model. The record is from RNAcentral.